CCUACGGGCGGCAGCAGUGGGGAAUAUUGGACAAUGGGGGGAUCCCUGAUCCAGCCAUGCCGCGUGUGUGAAGAAGGCCCUCGGGUUGUAAAGCACUUUCAGUGAGGAAGAACGCCUGGUGGUUAAUACCCAUCAGGAAAGACAUCACUCACAGAAGAAGCACCGGCUAACUCCGUGCCAGCAGCCGCGGUAAUACGGAGGGUGCGAGCGUUAAUCGGAAUUACUGGGCGUAAAGCGCGCGUAGGUGGCUUGAUAAGCCGGUUGUGAAAGCCCCGGGCUCAACCUGGGAACGGCAUCCGGAACUGUCAAGCUAGAGUGCAGGAGAGGAAGGUAGAAUUCCCGGUGUAGCGGUGAAAUGCGUAGAGAUCGGGAGGAAUACCAGUGGCGAAGGCGGCCUUCUGGACUGACACUGACACUGAGGUGCGAAAGCGUGGGUAGCAAACAGGAUUAGAUACCCUAGUAGUC
This 465-nucleotide ribosomal RNA is filed under the name Vreelandella stevensii. RNAcentral's name for it is "partial 16S ribosomal RNA". It matches the Rfam family "Bacterial small subunit ribosomal RNA", at positions 338 to 795 of the family's 1533-position model. The record is from RNAcentral. Lineage: Bacteria; Pseudomonadati; Pseudomonadota; Gammaproteobacteria; Oceanospirillales; Halomonadaceae.